AUAGCCGCAAUUCGUGCUAAGGUAGCAUAAUCAUUUGUCUUUUAAAUAAAGACUAGAACAAAAGAUUUAACAUUUAAAUCUAUUUAUUUUUAUUAAAUAUUCAAAUUAUCCUUAAUGUUAAAAGACAUUAAUUUAUAAAAAAGACGACAAGACCCUAUUAAACUUAACUUCAGUUUUACUGGGGAAGUAAAUCAAGUAUUAUUUUAAUAAAAUUACUUUAAAAAAUAUCCAACAAUUUGAGUUAUUCAGUUACUAUAGGGAUAACAGCGCAAUUAUAUUUAUAAGCUCUUAUAUAAAAUAUAUAUUACGACCUCGAUGUUGAAUUAAUUACCUAAUUAAAGCAAAUUUUAAAAAAGGAAAGUCUGUUCGACCUAUAAAUAAUUACAUGAUUUGAGUUCAGACCGGUAUAAGCCAGGUCGGUUUCCAUCUUUUUAAAAAAUCUUAACAGUACGAAAGGACCUAAAGAAUUAAUUAAAUUAAUCAAAUUGGCAGAAAAAUGCAUUAGAAUUAGAAUCUAAUUAAACUAAAA
This 529-nucleotide ribosomal RNA is filed under the name Omoedus brevis. RNAcentral describes it as "partial 16S ribosomal RNA". Lineage: Eukaryota; Metazoa; Arthropoda; Arachnida; Araneae; Salticidae. The record is from RNAcentral.